GGAGUACUAGAGCUGCUCAGUCACCCAGGGGACACCCAGGCAGUGCACUGCCCAGUGCUCAACACUGGGGACUAAAUCUUCAUCAUCUGCUGGCUACAGGAGUGGGGGUGGUGUCAGCUCGACCCCAUCCUGGAGAACUCCAGGAUACCUAAGCACCAUUGGUAUCCACAUGGGUGCUCACAGCGACCCUGAGAGGUCUAGAGUAGCUGCUGCGGCCCCAGCUAAUGAAGCAGGAGGCUGGGACCUGUAGAAAGAGAAGCCUGGAGUUUAUUUAAAAAUGUGUAUUUCCUUGGAGCUGAAGUUUAUCCUUUGGAUCCUGCAAUGUAGCCCUCUCCACAGCAGGGGGCUCCAGCAUCAAGAAAGCAAGAAGAGCAGCUGAAAACACCAGAGAUACAGCCCCCAGACUCCGCAGUUGGCUUUGGGCUAUCUGAGGCCACUUGGCCAGGCACAGAGAGCAGAGGCUACAGAUGUGGCUAGACUCUGUAUAGGAAGGCAGGGAUGAAUAGGGAGCUUGGCAGUGGGGCUGUCACUCAGCAAAAAAAAAAAAAAAGAAAUUCAAGGGUCCCCUGUGCAGAGGGACUUGAAGGUGGGAGAAGGGGGAGGCAGUUUUGAGCAGUAAGAUAAGGCUAGUUCUGCAGCCCUGGAAGGGUCUGAGGGUCCGUGGUAGGCUGCCCUGAAGGGGAGCUUGUCUCCAGCAUUUGUUAAGUUUGGAGGUGA
Molecule: long non-coding RNA, 717 nt
Filed under: Rattus norvegicus (Norway rat)
Lineage: Eukaryota; Metazoa; Chordata; Mammalia; Rodentia; Muridae
Description: long non-coding RNA NONRATT018762
Source: RNAcentral